Molecule: ribosomal RNA, 1243 nt
Filed under: metagenome
Description: bacterial SSU rRNA
Rfam family: Bacterial small subunit ribosomal RNA
Source: RNAcentral
AGCUUGUUGGUGGGGUAAUGGCCUACCAAGGCUAAGACGGCUAGGGGGCGUGAGAGCGCGACCCCCCACAAUGGAACUGAGACUCGGUCCAUACUCCUACGGGAGGCAGCAGUGAGGAAUAUUGCGCAAUGGGGGCAACCCUGACGCAGCAACGCCGCGUGGACGAUGAAGGCCUUCGGGUUGUAAAGUCCUUUUUUGGGGGACGAUAGUGACGGUACCCCAAGAAUAAGUCCCGGCUAACUACGUGCCAGCAGCCGCGGUAAAACGUAGGGGGCGAGCGUUAUCCGGAUUUAUUGGGCGUAAAGCGCACGUAGGCGGCGCUGUAAGUUGGACGUGAAAUCUCUCGGCUCAACUGGGAGAGGUCGUUCAAUACUGCGGUGCUCGAGGUUGGAAGAGGAGAGUGGAAUUCCCGGUGUAGUGGUGGAAUGCGUAGAUAUCGGGAGGAACACCAGUGGCGAAGGCGGCUCUCUGGUCCACACCUGACGCUGAGGUGCGAAAGCGUGGGUAGCGAACGGGAUUAGAUACCCCAGUAGUCCACGCCGUAAACGAUGGAUACUAGGUGUAGGAGGUCAUUUACCCCUUCUGUGCCGUAGCUAACGCGUUAAGUAUCCCGCCUGGGGACUACGGCCGCAAGGCUAAAACUCAAAGGAAUUGACGGGGGCCCGCACAAGCAGCGGAGCGUGUGGUUUAAUUCGAUACGCGAAGAACCUUACCUGGGCUUGACAUGUUGGUAGUAGUGAAGCGAAAGCGGAACGACCCUUCGGGGAGCCAUCACAGGUGCUGCAUGGCUGUCGUCAGCUCGUGUCGUGAGAUGUUGGGUUAAGUCCCGCAACGAGCGCAACCCUCGUCGUUAGUUACAAGUGUCUAACGAGACUGCCGGUAUCAAACCGGAGGAAGGUGGGGAUGACGUCAAGUCAGCAUGGUCUUUAUGUCCAGGGCUACACACACGCUACAAUGGCCGGUACAAUAGGUUGCCACACCGCGAGGUGAAGCUAAUCCUCAAAGCCGGUCUCAGUUCGGAUUGCAGUCCGCAACUCGACUGCAUGAAGGUGGAGUUGCUAGUAACCGCGCGUCAGCAAUAGUGCGGUGAAUGCGUUCCCGGGCCUUGUACACACCGCCCGUCACAUCAUGGAAGUCGGUAACACCUGAAGUUGGUGACCGAACCGGAAGGUAGGAACUGCCUAAGGUGGGACCGGUAACUGGGAUGAAGUCGUAACAAGGUAGCUGUAGCGAGCUGCGGCUG